GACGAACGCUGGCGGCGUGCCUAAUACAUGCAAGUCGAACGCUUCUUUCCUCCCGAGUGCUUGCACUCAAUUGGAAAGAGGAGUGGCGGACGGGUGAGUAACACGUGGGUAACCUACCCAUCAGAGGGGGAUAACACUUGGAAACAGGUGCUAAUACCGCAUAACAGUUUAUGCCGCAUGGCAUAAGAGUGAAAGGCGCUUUCGGGUGUCGUUGAUGGAUGGACCCGCGGUGCAUUAGCUAGUUGGUGAGGUAACGGCUCACCAAGGCCACGAUGCAUAGCCGACCUGAGAGGGUGAUCGGCCACACUGGGACUGAGACACGGCCCAGACUCCUACGGGAGGCAGCAGUAGGGAAUCUUCGGCAAUGGACGAAAGUCUGACCGAGCAACGCCGCGUGAGUGAAGAAGGUUUUCGGAUCGUAAAACUCUGUUGUUAGAGAAGAACAAGGACGUUAGUAACUGAACGUCCCCUGACGGUAUCUAACCAGAAAGCCGCGGCUAACUACGUG
Molecule: ribosomal RNA, 508 nt
Filed under: uncultured bacterium
Lineage: Bacteria
Description: partial 16S ribosomal RNA
Rfam family: Bacterial small subunit ribosomal RNA
Source: RNAcentral